CUGAAUUCCUGAACCAUAUGUUUAAAUUCUUUGUUUUGAAAAGUGCUGAGUGGUUCUACCAGAGAUAGAGAUUCAUAGCCAAACUCUACAGUAAGUGCCCCCCUGCUUUGGGAGGUGAAAAUGAUGAUGUUCAGCAAGAGCCAAUGUCGCCUGAGUAUAAACUAAUUAUGGGAUAGUCACAGACCUAGAAAAGUGUUUUUGGGUAUGUCCUGUGAUCUAACAUGUAUGAGAUGAUCCAAUGGGUCUUGGGGUUUUUCCAGGGGAAAAUAAGAAGGCUCUGGAGCAGAUUUAUGUGGGAACUUCCAUUUCCUCCUUAUUAAUCCUUUCUCCAUCAAAAUUUGAUCUGAUUCCUGAAAAUAAGACAAUAAUCCUAGAAUGUUCCAUUCAUUAAUUUGUCUUUCAGGUAACAUUUAUUGAGCAUCUGCUCUGUGCAGAUAUGGUUCUCCAGACAAACAGAACAUAUAUAUAUAUAUUUAUGUUUAUGUUUAAUAAAUAUAUAUACGAUUUCCAAAGAAGAAUUGGUUUCCCAUGAUUAUGGAGGCUAAGAAAUUUCACCAUGUGCUGUCUGCAAGCGGGAAUUCCAGGAAAAACAGUAGUGUAAAUUCCAGGCUGAGUCCAAAGGUCUGAGAACCAGGAACACCCGAUGGUCUAAGGUCCAGUGUGAGAAGACUAUGUCUCGGCUCAGCAGUCAGGGCCUGGCCCUCCAAGGACACUCAAGGUGAAGCAAACAGGAAGAGUCCUUGUGAUCAUUUCCAGUGAUUACCAGCUUCCUGUGGUCCAUCCCCGCAGCUGCAGGAGGCUCAUGGUCCUGUUACCCUUUCUUGCAGUUGGAAGGAGCCAGAUAAGGCCUUUGGCUGCCAAAACGGGAGACCCAGAGCUACUCCAUGGUUGGGACUAAAGAAAGAUGCUGCAAUUAUGGAUUGGAAGGCACCACUGUUUGUACCACUGACUCCCUCACUGAGGGGAGGAUUACACAGAAAUAGACAGCAGGGACAUCCAUAUGGACAAGGCUUGCCAGACCUCCGUCGGCUGACCAAGGUCACGUGACCUUUUUGUGACCUUUGGAAAUGACAGAGUGCUGUGUUCUCUUGACUCGGAGUAUGAAUGCUUGCUCAAGGGCGCACCCAAGGCGCCCGCCACACCCGUGAAGGCCAAGAGCAUCAGCACCUUCCAGCAGUUUGAGAGCAACAGCAGCGACGCCUGGGAUGCCGGCGAGGACGAUGACGGGCUCCUGGCCGUGGCAGCCGAGAGCCUGAACACCGACGUGGUCAUGGAGACGGCCCACCACGUCCUGCGCAACCACAGCCAGCGGCAGGAGCGCCGCAAGCCGCAGGAGGCGCCGGGCCCCGAGCAGGAGCCACAGCCUUCGGCAGAGCCUCCUUCGGUCCCGAGCGGUGACCUCCGGCUGGUGAAGUCCAUCAGCGAGAGCCACACAUCCUGUCCUGCAGGUGGGCGGGGGCGCGAGGAGAUGAUGUGCAGUGCUGCGAGGGAGAGGGGCUGGAGGCCUCUCGGUGCGGGAGGUUAGCGGGCGUUCCGUCCUCUUUGCCACAGGAGCUC
This is a long non-coding RNA of Mirounga angustirostris (Northern elephant seal), 1557 nucleotides long. RefSeq lists it as uncharacterized. The record is from RefSeq and is a predicted model, not a curated record. NCBI's taxonomy places the organism in Eukaryota, Metazoa, Chordata, Mammalia, Carnivora, Phocidae. The transcript is spliced from 3 exons.